CUGCUGCAAUAGUCAUUAUCAGCACAUACGUAAGAAUUGGAACGAUACAGAGAAGAUGAACAUGGCGCCCGUACAAAGAGGACAUGCAGUUCGUCGAAUGUUUUAUAUUUUUU
Molecule: small nuclear RNA, 113 nt
Organism: Loxodonta africana (African savanna elephant)
Lineage: Eukaryota; Metazoa; Chordata; Mammalia; Proboscidea; Elephantidae
Source: Ensembl